RNA transcript from Hippocampus zosterae (dwarf seahorse), 6755 nucleotides. It is a transcript of the gene named methyl-CpG-binding domain protein 5-like, with no coding region annotated. Lineage: Eukaryota; Metazoa; Chordata; Actinopteri; Syngnathiformes; Syngnathidae. The transcript has 14 exons. The record is from RefSeq and is a predicted model, not a curated record.
CAGAGUGCGCAUGCGCGUUAGAAAACUCCCAUUAUUUAUUUAUUUUGUUGGCUGGGAAUGUAAAAAAACACAAAAAAACAAGGCAACUGUGAAUUUUGGAUUACAUGGCUCGCGAUGGUUUUGGGAAUAUAUCUGCAUGCAAGACGGCCGAGAAGUAGUGAGACGAAAACAACGUCUUGCAUGAGUCAGCGGGGCAGCCUCCACUCUUGUCGGGACACUCCAAAUCAAGAUCAUCAUCCUCAUAUCAGCUCCUCCUUGGAUGUCAACUGAAUAAACAUCUUACAGCGUUCAUUCUUCGUGGCAGAGGCGCAGCCUGGUUGCUGGGGACACUUUGGACAUUGGCUCAGGUUAACUGGCAGUCUGUGUGCUUCUAACCCACCAGCAUGUUCAUCCGACAGUCAAUACCCUAGCCAAACCCGAGCCUGGCCUCACAAAGAUGACAAGCCGCUGGCAGGCUGCAGCUACAGAAUGAUGGGAGGAAGUGACACUGGCAGUGGGGACAAGGAUGAGGUGGUCUCCGCUGCCGUACAUGUCCCAAUCGGCUGGCAGAGGAGAGUGCAUGGCGGCCAGGUUGUGUAUGUCAGUCCCAGUGGAACUUCUCUGUCCUCCCUGGAUGAGGUGAAGACCUACCUGUUGACUGAUGGCACAUGUAAAUGUGGUCUGGAGUGCCCUCUUGUCAUCGGCAAGGUUUUCAACUUUACAUUGGGGGUAAAGGUAGAGCAGCACAAGCAGCCCCUAGGCAAAGCAGAGCAGGACAUGACCAAACUGUGUAACCAUCGCAGGAAAGUGGUGGCAAUGGCCGCUCUGUGUCGCAGUAUGCAGGCGUCACACCUGCCUUUUGGUCACCUUCAUAACCCGGAGGUGAGCAAGGGAGUGGGCAAUUGCAUCCCAAAGAGGGCUCUUGUUGAGCACGAAGAAGAGGACCGAGGCAUUUACCAUCCUAGAUUUCGUCCGGCUCCUGCGCCAGCUCAGAAUAACGCCCACCCUAACCCCAGUGCCAGCCCCAAUUCCUCUCACAAGUUUAUUUAUCCUUAUAAUGGUUCCUCCCCAGGUCCUCACACAGGCGGAAACUCUCACCAUCCCCUUGAUGCUUUACGGAGGCUUCACCAUCCUCCUCUUUCUCAAACGGUGCCCUUUACCACUUCCAGCAGCCCCCCAUUCCCUGCUUACCAUGUUGCCCAAAGGUCACCCCGCACUCCCACCCCUCAAAAUGUCAGUCAAGGUCAAAAACUGCCCCAAACUCCUGAAACCCCUGCCUCUCCUCUCCUAAGGCCCCUGUCUUCACCUCCUUGCUCUUCUCCUAAAAGCUUUGUCAUAGGAGGAAGAGUUUCACAGACUCAAGCGCAGCAUCCACAUGGGGUCAUAUGUGGAGGCUCUCCCCUCUCGCCAUCCCCCAUCCUCUCUCCGUCUGUCCUUCACAUGAAUUCUGUGUCUCCUCAGCAGCGGUCCCACUACCCUUCGGCCUCCCCCUCUCACGUCUCUGAUCAGGGUGGAAUCUCCACCGCAGCGGCUGAAGGGCUGACGGCAAGUAAUUUGUCACGGAGGAGGAAGUCCUGCUCUUCCUCUCCGCACUCCCCUCUGCUUUGUGGUUCACCAAACCCCACCCCCCACAUCUUCAAGUUUAAGCUGGAAGACAUCUUGGAGCAGUUUAAGAACUCUGGCAACGGUAGCACUAAUAACCACCGCCUCGCAAACCCUACAAAUCCCAGCACAUUGACUAACCAAAGCAGUCACAGUCCUCAUGCUCCCCCACUGAAACCCGCAAACAGUACAGCAAAUCUCGGCACAGCCCCACCAGGUUUUGGCUUGAAUCCUGCGGGGAUUUCCAACACUAUCGUGGCACCGUUUUUGAACCACCACAGUCACCAGGGCCAGCUGCCGGCCUCAACUUCUUUUCCGGCAAGUAGCCUGCUCUCCGCGGCUGCAAAAGCUCAGCUGGCUAGCCAGGUAACUCAUGGUCAGGGCUCAAAUGUGGCCUGCAGCCAAACAAGUGGCUCCUCCUCCUUGGAAAUCGUGACAGAGGCACAGCAAAGACAGUCGACCAAGGUAACAAACAGCACUUUAAAAAACAGCCACCUUUCCUCCCCUAUUGCUGCCUCGAGGCCUCACUGUCCCGCUCUAGCAGCAGCGUCUUCUGUCCUCUUUCCUUCACCCCACUCCCUAGCCCAGUCCCUGGCUUCUUCCUUGCCCCAAUUGCCUCCUAAAACAGAGCAAAAUGCAUCGCACAGGAAAAGGCGGCGGCGAUCUCCCACUGUUCUGAGCACGAUCAAAGACACCCAGCAGCUGGCCAAUGGGCCGCAGAAGCCCCAGCCCGGAGAAUGCGUCUCCGCUACUGCUCUGAACCUAUCAUCUUUGGCUUUCCCUCGCUCUGUCUCUGCCUCUACCUCAGAUGUGCAGAACCCGAAUAGCGGCACGCACGAGCGCCACCAUCAUCUGCCACCGGGGCAGACAUCCAAGUUCUUGACUUCCAAACAGACGGCACAUCUUUCUGGAACUCCCCGACAGGCAGAAGGCCUGGAUAUCACUACAGGCUUGGCGCCAACAUCCCUUAGCUUGGAUCCUCCAACCCAGCCCCUUUCUGCUCUUUUGCACUUACUCAGUGUACAGAAUGCUCAGGCCGCAGCCUCGGCUUCUAACCCCGCUCCAGCUCAUUUGGGAUCUUUGUCUGUAGAAGGGGGUGGACACACUAAGACGCAGAGCCCCACACCAUCGCCCUCUCCUAUAUCCCCUCAUUCCAGCGGCAACCGCCCGCAGCCUCCGUCACCAUGCCGAACCAGUAACACUAAUAUGAUAUCGUCGGUUCAAGAAACGCUCUCUCCCACUCGCACCUCCACUCAUUUCAGUUCAGUGCAGUCACGAUCUCAGUCUCUGAGAUUAAGUCCUCCACAAAGACAUUCUUCGACAUCCUCAAUGUUGUCACGCUCCAAUUUAGCUUUACACAACAGCAGCAGCCCAUCUCCGUCACACAUGGCCCCUACUCCACUUGACAGGCACCAUCCAACUGAGAAUCAUGUUCCAGCAACUGACACUGUUUCCCGGGUGCUUUCACCAGAAGCAUCGCCGCAGAGCAUGAUCGGUAAUGAUCGGUCAACAGCAGACCCGAGUCACCCACAAAGCGACAUAUCUGUGGCAUUACCCACCUCGCCAAAGCCUCUUGAUCUCAGCAAUCAUGUUCUAGCCCUUCUUGCAGCAUCCUCCACUGCACGGCAGGAGGAACGCAGCUCCGCUGACCAUACAACAGAUAUAGUGAUGUCUUCCCAAGAAAGUCACUCUCCAGGUUCCGGUGACUGUGAACGUGGAGACUUGAAGAACUCCGCAUCAACGAAACCUCUGACACCCACCAGUUCGGAGGUCGUCGCCUCUUCUCAGCUUGGGGAGGACCGUCCUCAGACACCUUCAGCGAUGAGCGACUCGACCGCCCCUUUACCUCUGGCAGAGGCCUUCCCUUUCAUGAACCAAGAUCAGCUUCUUCAGCUGCUGUCUUCCACAGGAGGCCUGCCAUCCAUACUGGACCCUACGGUCCUGUCCUCAUUACACCUCGGAGGGCUGUGGUUGGGUGGGCAAAAUGCACAGACACCUUCCAGUGCUCCAACACAAAAUCUUGUCGAGCAACAUCCCGUAAUGAUCCAAUCCGAGGCACAGCAGCAAAGCCAGGAUCAGCAACAGAAGCAGCAACAGAUAAACAGUAAUCCUCUCUUUCCGUUGUUGCCUCUGUUGAGCGGCGUGCAAGGGGACAUACCUCUUAAUCUGUUGGGCCUUCUAAACCCAAUCCCACCUCCAGCCUCAGCUUCUGCCACAGGACAGGAAUCUGAUUUGGGACUAACAGAAAAACCAAGUCACCAAGCUCUGCUUAUGGCGUCCUUGCUGCUCGGGCAACACCAGGCGCCUUUGUUACCCUUAUCUGGACUGAGUCAGGUGGGUCAGGUCAGCUUGGAGGUUCCUCUUCAGCAGCCGCCGCAGAUCCCCGCCUCUUUGGAGGGCCUCAUGUUGGAUAAGGCCGCUGCUCUCUUGGAUCCGUCAACUCUUCAUGGGUCGGGGCUUCUGGAAGUCACCCAGGGUCUUCCCCUCCCGCCUGGAGCGGAAGGGUCUGUCCAAGCUCUGCAGUCCCUGCUCCUUCCUCCUCACCCGGCUACCUUCCUGCCUUUUAGCCCCGCCCUCCUUACAGCUGCUCUAAACACAGCUGACUUACCCCAUACCCAGUUAACUCCUGUUCAGCAUACCCAACCUCAGGAACUGUCAGAUGCUGGUGUGGACACCCUCAUCCCCCUUUCUCUCCAAGGAAAGGAAAACCCCAUUCUGCAGCAAUUACUUCCCACUUUACUUAACCCUGCUGUGUUAGGAGACAUUUCUGGCAUUGCCGGGCUCCAUAACAUGGUGGGUAUCGGAGCCGGUUCUUUACUCCUGCCCUCAGUCCAGACCUCAUCUUUGGGGAUGCCUCUCCUGCAAGGUCCUGAUGGGACCAUCAACUUGCUCAACAACAUUCAGCUGAAUCUUGCGCCAUCCUCUGAAGGAGAGAAGUCCAACUCGUUGCAGGAAACGGAGAGCCCCGCCCCUCACUGUGACAUUCCAGCCUCUCAGAUCUCUCCUGAAGAGGUUGCUAGUCCGCCUCCAACACCUGCCCAAGAAACGAGCCGACCGCCACAUCGAGGGUCUGAAGGCAGGCCAGUUAUCGACCCCUACACCUCUUUCAUGGAUACAAUUUACACCUCCUUCCUUCAAAUUAACGCUAAAGAGCAGGAAGAUGGGGUCCACUCUGGGCCGUCUGACCCUACAUCACCUUUCUGUGCCUUACCGCCCGUCACUUUCCCCAUGGAGCACCACACUCUCUCCACACCUGCCCCAACUCAGCACCAGGCGAGUGCCCCGGUCUCCCUCAGCCCACGGCGGGCUUGCUCCCUGCGAAACCCAGACUUGUCACGCCUCAGCUUGGAAGCGGCAGCUCACUCUCCAGCCCAGGGUACGCCCAAACCCACUGAGGAUGUGGCCACAUCGCCUCUACAAAGAAAAACAGUCAUGGUGGAGGGACACACCCAUCCAGAGCCCCCCUUACCAUCCAUAUACUUGGAGGAAGCCAAGACGGACUGUACCGGUGUGGAUAGACAGGCAGGUUAUCUGAGUCCUGGGGAUGGUUGCAGUGGGAGACCGCAUAAGGAUGCACCUGGGACAUUGUUGCACAGUGAACAGGGAAGGGAACAAUCAGGAACUGUGUCCGGAGUCCGUCGAGGGAGAAAAAGAAAACAGACGCUGCAGAAUGUGUUGGAGGACUUCAGAGACGUGGAUGCUACAACAGCACUCGAAGAAACAAAGGCUACUACGUUUUCCAGUCAUCACCCUGGAAUGUAAGGCACUUUCCCAGCAUUCACCUGCACUCCUGGAAGGAUUCUUCAAAGAUUUUCCACAGCUGCGCUGUCAGGUCCAUCUUGUUGUCGUCCGCUUCUUCAAAACGGUUCCCUUGGAUGAGCUUUGGAAAGAGGAAAAAAAAAAUCUCACGGAGCCAGGACAGACGGCCCUGUUGAAGCCCGACACAUCGGUCCGAGGCAGGAGGAGACGAGGGGUGAGGUCUCAGAGGCAGUGAUUGUUGCAGGGAGCUGUCAGUCACAGCUGUUCCACCAAUCAGAAUCAGACUUCACUUCCUGACUCCACCCAUGCAUCCCAAUCCACCCACAUCACUUAUGAUUUUUUUUUUUAAGUGUCAAUCUCAGUCAACUGCACUAAUCAUGUUGUUCAUGUUAACCAAUGCCAUGAAAACGAGUGGAAAAAUAUAGCAUCGGUCGAGCUCCAGACUGGGGGAAAAACAUUUUUUAAAAGGAAAUUUUUAAAAUAAAUGUGGAUAUUUUCUCACUCUUAGGUCUAGUUAACACAAUAAUGGUUGUGUUGGUGUGAUCACAGCUCUCUUCACGAUGUUAGCGUCAUAUCUUUUUAUUUUUAUUUUUUACACAGACAAAACAAGAGAACUCUUCUCAUGUAUCUGUUACUGUGAGUCGCAAUGAAGCCCGUCUACUUGAACCAUGCUCUCUGUGGAAAGUGUGUAUGUAGCUGUAUGUAUGUGUGCGUGCGUGUGUCUUUUUUAAUAUGUUGAUUGUGUUGGACAACAGAGCUAUUGCUGAGCCCCUCACUCGUGGUUUAGUUGGAAUUCUGGUCAAGUCAUGGAUGACACCCUCUGAUGAGACCCUCUGUUUCAAGAAAGAAAGGACUCUUGAAGGCACACUCCUAAUGUUUUCAGAUGAUGCUGGAAACGUAGAUGUAUGAUUUUUAUUUUUCUCUCAUAGUAUAAAGCCACCGUUUUUGGAUUUCUUUUACUUCCUCCCUUGAGUAGAUGGCCAUCCGUCAUGUAGCGCCCCCCCCCCCCCUUGUCAUGAACAAAAUGGGGAUUCUUAAAAGCCAGAGCUGUGAUAGCUCAUAUGGAUUUGAUGAGUCUGCCUAACUGUAGAAAAAUCCUUACACUGCCCUCCCCUCAAAAUACUGUCAUCUCUCGCUGUAUUUAACAAAAAAAAAAAGAAGAAAAAAAGCAAAUUAUGCAAUUUCUAUUCACUUGGAGAUUUGUAUAUAUGUACAAUUAAUGUGUUUUAUUAUUUUAUAUGGUUUAGAGAAAAGAGAUGAGUGCAAACAAUUGUGAAUUUUCUGGGAGUAUUUUUCUCAUACUACACCCUGGCUUUCAAUACUUGUUAAAAAAAGGCGAUUAAAUUGUGGACUGUAGCUUUCUUUUUUUAUAUGGGAGUCUUUUUUUUAUUUAAUAUUAAAACUAUUUACAGAAA